RNAcentral lists this long non-coding RNA (293 nucleotides) under Brassica napus (rape). RNAcentral's name for it is "long non-coding RNA (BNAP_LNC013782)". The record is from RNAcentral. Lineage: Eukaryota; Viridiplantae; Streptophyta; Magnoliopsida; Brassicales; Brassicaceae.
UUCAAAAUCUUCUCUCUACUGACUUCUGAUUUGUCUCUCCAAAAGCUUUAAAACCUACAAUUCUGAUGUAAAAUAAACUCUAGCCUAAAUAUACAUAAAAUACUCUUAAACAUGACUUAUAUCAUGAUCAAAACCCAUUAAAAACGAUGAUAUAUCAACUCACUCAGACUUAGCCUUUUUUUCUCAAGCAAAACAAAGAACGGAACAUUUAAAAGAGCUGUAAAACAUAGGAACUCACAUAUCCUUCAAAGCAUCACUUUCACUACUACUUGUUACAAACCACAUCAAUUGGU